This 705-nucleotide long non-coding RNA is filed under the name Marmota monax (woodchuck). The record is from RNAcentral. Lineage: Eukaryota; Metazoa; Chordata; Mammalia; Rodentia; Sciuridae.
CGGCGGAGCUCGGAACCGAGACCCUGCUCUGGAGUCCGGAGUCGGAUCUGGGGCGCCCCAGCCCCGCACACCCAGAGCAGCCCGCACGCCCCCCGCGGCGGGCAGCUCACCUCCGUUCAGGGGUGCUCGUCGAACAUUGUCCUCCUAAGGGUCACACCGGCAUUCCUGUAGGUUGGCAGUUUGGGAUCCCCAAAGCUCAAGAGCCUCUUGUUCAAGGUCUCCCCCCCACUUAAGGUGGGAGAACCCAGAGCCCCGGGGGGGGGGGGUCCUUGUGCUCCCGUCUGACCCCGGGUGAGCGCAGGCACGCCCUCUUCGCGGGAGGCCUUCGCCCCAGUCGGGGCUGGGAAUCGCUCAACAGACAUUUCUGGGGCACCUGCUGCAUGGGGCAGGUGCUUGGGGCACAGGGGACCCAGAAACAAGUGAAUCGCAGGCCUGCCCACAGAGCUAGUGCUCUUGGGGAGGGAAAAGGGACAGUGACAGUGCAGCCGAGAAAGAGAACGAGGGGCUGGCGGCAGCUGUAGCCUGAGAUCUGGGGGCUUCUAGGAGGAGGUGGCCUUGACUCUCGAUCUGGAAGGGGAGGAAAAGCGGCCCCUGGGAGGCUGGGGGAAGGGCACCCCGGGUAGAGGUUAGCGGUAGGAGCAAAGGUCCUGAGGUGCGGAGCAGCUGGCGUUGGAAGACCGCAGGGGGCAGGGCGGCUGAGCCGAG